RNAcentral lists this ribosomal RNA (274 nucleotides) under uncultured prokaryote. Its description in RNAcentral is "partial 16S ribosomal RNA". It matches the Rfam family "Bacterial small subunit ribosomal RNA", at positions 524 to 796 of the family's 1533-position model. The record is from RNAcentral.
UACGGAGGAUCCGAGCGUUAUCCGGAUUUAUUGGGCCUAAAGCGUCCGUAGCCGGUUUAAUAAGUCUCUGGUGAAAUCCUGUAGCUUAACUGUGGGAAUUGCUGGAGAUACUAUUAGACUUGAGACCGGGAGAGGUUAGAGGUACUCCCAGGGUAGAGGUGAAAUUCUGUAAUCCUGGGAGGACCGCCUGUUGCGAAGGCGUCUAACUGGAACGGUUCUGACGGUGAGGGACGAAAGUUAGGGGCGCGAACCGGAUUAGAUACCCCGGUAGUCC